This 410-nucleotide unclassified non-coding RNA is filed under the name fungal sp. RNAcentral describes it as "partial internal transcribed spacer region". The stretch from base 1 to 46 matches the Rfam family "Eukaryotic small subunit ribosomal RNA", at positions 1786 to 1831 of the family's 1831-position model. RNAcentral also lists the same sequence under 1 other name. Lineage: Eukaryota; Fungi. The record is from RNAcentral.
AAGUCGUAACAAGGUUUCCGUAGGUGAACCUGCGGAAGGAUCAUUCACACUAAUUAACAGUGUAAUGUUAUUGCAGUAUACCCUAAACAAGUAUAUUGUAAUACAUUACAUUGCCAUACCAAACAGAACAAUAAACCCCUAUGUAAAUAAACCCCUAUGUAAAAUUCUUGGGCUAGCUUGUGCGUCGGCUGUGUGGUCGGCGUAUGAGCGACACCUUAUACCUUUUUUAUACUAUUUGCUCUAUAUAUGCGUUCAUUGCUAAUACGUGUAUGUUGGGAGUAUGCGGAUGUCUCGUGUAUGUACCCUCGGGUAUAUACGCUUGUAGCACGUACACUGUCAAUAUAUGUGUAUUAUUAUUGAAUAAUAUAAAAUAUAAAUUACAACUCUUUGCAAUGGAUAUCUUGGUUCUC